This 1847-nucleotide ribosomal RNA is filed under the name Alphaproteobacteria bacterium. RNAcentral describes it as "bacterial LSU rRNA". It matches the Rfam family "Bacterial large subunit ribosomal RNA", at positions 1 to 2020 of the family's 2925-position model. Lineage: Bacteria; Pseudomonadati; Pseudomonadota; Alphaproteobacteria. The record is from RNAcentral.
GAAUAAGUAUUAAAGGGCAUUUGGUGGAUGCCUUGGCAUCAAGAGGCGAUGAAGGACGCGAUACGCUGCGAAAAGUCACGGUAAGGUGCGAAUAACCGUUAACCCGUGAAUGUCCGAAUGGGGAAACCCACCACUUUUAGUGGUAUCUUAAACUGAAUACAUAGGUUUAAGAGGCGAACCUGGCGAACUGAAACAUCUAAGUAGCCAGAGGAAAAGAAAUCAACCGAGACUCCGCGAGUAGUGGCGAACGAAAGCGGACCAGGCCAAUGGUUGGCUUAACAAAACCUGAAUAAGCUGGAAAGCUUAACUAAAGAAGGUGAUAGUCCUGUAAGGGUAAAUGUUAAGUCGAUCUUCGAGUAGGGCGGGACACGAGAAAUCCUGUCUGAACAUGGGGGGACCACCCUCCAAGCCUAAGUACUCCUUGAUGACCGAUAGCGAACAAGUACCGUGAGGGAAAGGUGAAAAGAACCCUGAGCAAGGGAGUGAAAUAGAAUCUGAAACCGAAUGUCUACAAGCAGUCGAAGCGUCCUUGAGGCGCGACGGCGUACCUUUUGUAUAAUGGGUCAGCGAGUUCGUCUGAGUAGCAAGCUUAAGCCGAUAGGUGUAGGCGUAGCGAAAGCAAGUUUUAAUAGAGCGCUAAGUUACUUGGAUGAGACCCGAAACCGGGUGAUCUAGCCAUGAGCAGGUUGAAGUUGCGGUAAUACGUAAUGGAGGACCGAACCCACGCAUGUUGCAAUAUGCGGGGAUGACUUGUGGCUAGGGGUGAAAGGCCAAUCAAACUCGGAAAUAGCUGGUUCUCCGCGAAAACUAUUUAGGUAGUGCGUCAAGAGAUGGCUACUGGGGGUAGAGCACUGAAUAGGCUAGGGGGGAGCGAUCCUUACCAAACCUAAUCAAACUCCGAAUACCAGUAUGCUUAUCUUGGCAGACAGACCAUGGGUGCUAAGGUCCAUGGUCAAAAGGGAAACAGCCCUGACCACCGUCUAAGGUCCCCAAAUCACUGUUAAGUGGAAAAGGAAGUGAGAAGGCCAAGACAGCCAGGAGGUUGGCUUAGAAGCAGCCAUCCUUUAAAGAAAGCGUAAUAGCUCACUGGUCUAGUUAAGCCAUCUUGCACCGAAAAUGUACCGGGGCUCAAACAGUGUACCGAAGACGUGGGCAUCGUAAGAUGCGGUAGCGGAGCGUUCUGUAAGCCGUUGAAGGUAAAUCGCGAGGUUUGCUGGAGGUAUCAGAAGUGAGAAUGCUGACAUAAGUAACAAUAAGGCAUGUGAGAACCAUGCCCACCGAAAAUCUAAGGGUUCCUGCGCAAGGAUAAUCCGCGCAGGGUGAGUCGGCCCCUAAGGCGAGGACGAAAGUCGUAGUCGAUGGAAACAAGGUUAAUAUUCCUUGACCUGUCAGUGGUGACGAAGGUCGUAAGUUGUUUGUUAUUAUUGGAUUUUGCAAGCAGCGAAGAACUUCCAGGAAAUAGCCCUGACAUUUAAGACCGUACCCGAAACCGACACAGGUGGAUUCGUAGAGCAUACGUAGGUGAAUGAGCGAAUGAUGUUGAAGGAACUCGGCAAAUUGACCCCGUAACUUCGGAAGAAGGGGUACCCUUUUUUGGGCAACCAGAAGAGGGUGGCACAGGCCAGGGGGUGGCGACUGUUUAUCAAAAACACAGGACUCUGCAAAAUCAAUUGAUGACGUAUAGGGUCUGACGCCUGCCCGGUGCCGGAAAGUUAAGAGGAGGUGUGCAAGCACUGAAUUGAAGCUCUGGUAAACGGCGGCCGUAACUAUAACGGUCCUAAGGUAGCGAAAUUCCUUGUCGGGUAAGUUCCGACCUGCACGAAUGGCGUAACGACUUCCCCGCUGUC